AUUUACUUGGACAAAGGGUCUGGUGUUUGUAGUGCUGGAACUGCUAUAGCUAUAUAUUUACCAUGGCGAGUACACUUUAAAGGGAUAGCAGCUAUCAUGACACGGUCUCGCAUUCCAUACAUCUAGCUAGCUGUUAGCGCGCUACCUAAUUAGCUUAGCUAACCACAGUAGAUAGCUACUUCCUUGUUCAUUCAGCUAGCUAGUUGAGGCCGGGUACGUCCAUUACAACCAGCAGCCUAGUUUGUGACGAAAAUAUUGAACCCUUGCUCGGCUUGUGGUGUCAGAGUGCCUGCUGGUGUUAUCUGUUCUGACAUAAGACAGAAUGUCAGAAGGAGACAGCGUCGGUGAAUCGAUCCAUGGGAAACCGUCAACGGUUGGACGCUUUUUCACGAGACUUGGCCAGGUCUAUCAGUCAUGGUUGGACAAGUCAACGCCAUUCGCUGUUGUGCGGUGGGGUGCCACACUCUUACUAACUGCCAUCUACAUGAUCAGAGUGUAUAUUCUACAGGGAUGGUACAUAGUCACAUAUGCUCUGGGCAUCUAUCACCUCAACCUGUUCAUUGCUUUCCUGUCGCCAAAAGUGGACCCGUCUCUGCUUGAUGACGGAGACGAGGGUCCGGCGUUGCCCACCAAGCAGAAUGAGGAGUUCCGGCCUUUUAUUAGGAGACUACCUGAAUUCAAGUUCUGGCAUUCGGCAACAAAAGGCAUCGUCAUUGCAAUGAUUUGCACGUUCUUUGAAGCCUUCAACGUGCCAGUGUUCUGGCCUAUACUGGUUAUGUACUUCAUCAUGCUCUUUUGUAUCACCAUGAAGAGGCAGAUCAAGCAUAUGGUCAAGUACAGAUACCUGCCCUUCACUCACGGAAAGAGAACAUACAGAGGCAAGGAAGACACAGGGAAACCAUUUGCUAGUUAAAAUCACCCAACAUCCCAGGUCCCCCACCUGUAAUUAAACUAAUUGAUGAGGAAUGGUGCGUAAAAGGGGUCGGAGAAGGGUUUUGUUUUAUUUUCUUUUGUUCAUAUAUAUAUAUUUCUUUUUUUAUGAACCGUGUAAAUGGGAGGGAAAAGAGUUUUGAUCCAUGCUGACAGUGUUUAGUUAUGGACAGCCCCUCUGAUUGGGCGAGACCAUCACGCUGCCUUUUGAUUGACUGUGGGCCAUAAAGGAUUUUUCUUUUUCUGGGUUUUCUGCGGGCUGCUCUGGGGUAUGCUCUGUACCUAUUUGGGUAGUGGUUGUUUGGGAUGGUGUGGAGGGGUGGCUGGGGGGGGUGUCUUUGCCUUCUGACCCUGCGGGGUGGUAAGUAUUUACUAAUGUAGUUGGGGGACGCUAGGUAUUCUGCAGUUUCCUAGUUCCCAGUCAUUAAGAUCACCCCCUCAACACUUUCCACUCUUCCUUUCCCCCCUCACCCACUAGAUCUAUAAACCUUACGGGUUCUACUUGAGGUCCACAACAUCCAGUGGUAAAGGUGCUUGCAGCUGUCAUAGAAACCCUAUCUUCAUCAGAAUGGAAGUUCUUAAGUUCUAGAACUUGAUUUGUUAGACAUCCACCGAGCUUCAUGACUCUGUGUCUGCCUCAUCAAUUCUGUUGUGGAUCCACCUGUUAGCCAGUAAACCAGCAAACUGUCUCAAUGAAAAUUCCUUCAGAUCUCACUGCAGUAACUUUGCCUUGUGGGUGGAAGAGGAUCUUUGGGUGUGGAAAGCACUAGUGCUUCAUACUUUUAUUUGAAAACAAUGUCACAUGCCAAUAUAUAUAAAUAUAUAUAUAUAUUAAAUGAAUGCUUGUGUGUAGAUGAAGGCUCUUGGGAAAUGUAGUCUAACACCCUUAGCAGUAUUUGAAUGUGUAUAUAUGUUUUGUUUUGUUUGCUCCCCCACCACCUCCUUUACAGUUGUAGUGUGUAAUGCACAACCCAAGCGCUCUCCCUCCUCCCUUUCAGUCCACUUUAAUUUAGAUGUGAUGGUGAAGAGAUGGAUUAGAAGAACAAAAAGAAUAAAUGAUUAAAAGAAGGAUUCAUUCCAAUGCAUUGUACAAUGUUAACCCACUGUAGUUCUGUUUGUAUGAAUAUGUGACAAAGAGUUUAAUCAUUCCAAACAAAAAUGUUGUUUCUUGUCUCUCUUCUCUUGCAGAGGAAACAUGAACAUUGAGUGGUUUAUUAUUACAAAUGGACGGAGUGGGUUGAAACCUUUUUUUUUUUUUUUUUUUUUUUUGGAGGGGGGGGGAUGUUGGUAUGGGACUUGUGAGCUGAGGAUCGCAUUCUAACAGCUAAUGUAGAUUUUUUUUAAAAACCACAGUUUUCCUGGAGGAGAGAAAAAAAAUAAUCAACACUGUAGUUAAGGAGCAAAGCAUUUUUCCUCUGCUAGUACAUCAUGUUUUUAAGGGUUGUUUUCAGGAUUUAUACAUACAUAUAUUUUAAAGAUUUUUUUUUCUUAAGACAUGCUGUUUUCCAAGUGUUAAAUCAACUGUGUCAUAUUAAACCAAUCAAAACAAAAUGAAAAAAAAAAAAAACAUUGGAUACAGGAUUUGUAAAUUGUUUCUCAUGGAAGAAAUUGCAUGUGUUUGGUUUUCUUGUGCCGUUGACCAGAACCAGAAAAA
Alosa sapidissima (American shad) is the source of this 2584-nucleotide RNA transcript. It is a transcript of the gene named retention in endoplasmic reticulum sorting receptor 1, with no coding region annotated. The record is from RefSeq and is a predicted model, not a curated record. The transcript has 8 exons. NCBI's taxonomy places the organism in Eukaryota, Metazoa, Chordata, Actinopteri, Clupeiformes, Clupeidae.